Electrophorus electricus (electric eel) is the source of this 3376-nucleotide long non-coding RNA. RefSeq lists it as uncharacterized. NCBI's taxonomy places the organism in Eukaryota, Metazoa, Chordata, Actinopteri, Gymnotiformes, Gymnotidae. The record is from RefSeq and is a predicted model, not a curated record.
GUAACGGCACCGACGCUCGGCUCACUGUGGUUUUUCCUCCCCUUUCCCCAUCACAGCUCUCGCACCCCUACAACUCCCUGUCCCCCUUCAUCUUCUGAUGCGUUGUAGUCCUUUCACCGAAACAGCCAGGGGGGGAAAAGGGUGUUGGAGAGGGCAGUUACACCCGAGAGAAGAUUCGGAUAGUGGAGGGGGUGUGUCUUCUUUCUGGGGAGGAGCUAUACUGGGAGGACCUGAAACAGCUGAAGGUGUGUCGAGGGGGUGGACUUCAUACCUGCAUGCGCACGGAUACUGUCUCCCUGCAAGCAAGCUCAGCCUCCUUGGACGAUACUGAGACGGAACAGCUGUUACAGGGCGACCAAUCCGAAUGUUCCAGUCUAAACACAGCCCCAGCGACCACACCCCAGCGCCACAGUGCCCACCCAGACACUGGCUGGGUCCCCAAUCGCAAACCCUCCACUGAGAGUGAAGUGUGAUCUCACAAUGAACACAUGCUUAGACAAUGACAUCUACACAAAAGACACAUGCUUCACACAAGAAUGAAUGCACAUGCUACACCCAACAAAUCCCCUUCUGUCAAAAAGGCUACACACACACACACACACACACACACACACACAGACACACACACACACACACACACACAGUGUUACCUACAUAUCGAAACUGCAAACCUGCCUAGCAGGCCGUGUAAAGCUGAGCAAUUAUAGCUGUGCAACUCAUAGAUUUAGUAGGCAAAUGGUUCAUCUAUGCAUAGGGCACAGAACAAAAGCCAGCAAAAACAUUUAAUAACCCAUUUAAGGAAGGUGCCUGACUGGCCUAAAACUAAAACCGGCAUAGAAUUUCUGAACACACAUACAUGUAAACAAACAUUACCCCAGUUUCCUAAACCAUCAUUUCCUAAACCAUCAUAGUAUCUUUUCUUUACUCCUCCCCAUGUUACUGGGGCCUGAGCUUCACCCUGACUCCUCCCCCAAUGUCUGGAGCACAUCCCCUACCCCACUGUGGGCUCCUGACUCCUCCCCUUAUGUCUGGAGCCCAUCCCCCACCCCACUGUGGGCUCCUGACUCCUCCCCCUAUGUCUAGUGCCCAUCCCCCAACCCACUGUGGGCCACCCCCUUUCGGACACACGACUGAAAAGACUUUGCAGAGCCUACGGACAGCAUAAUGCAGUAAGAGAACAAAGAUUUAAAAAAAAACAAAACACUUUUGAGAAAGCAAGGAAUGCAACCCACAAAGAAAUCGGGAGUGUUUUUGUAUACAAGGACAGCACUGUUGUGUAUAAAAUUAUGCUUUUUUUUUGUGGAUUUCUGAUGUAAGCUAAAAUCAAGACUCUGUGCUCAUGGACAGUAUAGCAAACUGAUCCGUCUGCUGCCACGCCUCACCACUCAUCGUACGUUUAUGAACUCUAUUUAUGAACAUUUUGUACAUCUGAGUGGGCUGUUCAUUCUGUCUCCCCUGCAUUCUGUUCAAGGCCUCAUGCAUUGACAGGACUAAUUAAGGAUUAGUGCCAAAGGGCGGGGUGCGCUCUCUCUCCCUCUGCGGACGCCGCUGUGAUUUAUGAAGCCGUGCAGCGCUGCGUGGGUCACUCGCAUCAUGGUCCAGUUCAGAUGUGCGGCACAACCCAGUUUUACAGAGAGAUGGAACGAAAAUGUGGCCAUGUUACGAACAUUGCCAGUUUUUCCCUCGUCAUUCGUCUCAUCAAAUGAAAUGUUUUACAGGUUGUUUUUGUUUUAUGGAUUUUUGAAACGAGCAUUAGAUAUUUGAUUAAGUAAGGUAAUUGAGCAAGUUUAAGGUAGGGUGACAAAAAAAACAAAAAAACAUGAAACAUUACAUGUCCUCGGGGAAAGUAGUCUGAAUGAAGUGUAAGUGCCAAAUGUUGUUUUUGUUGUUGUUUUUUCUUCACUAUAUUUAUAUUUCAGGAGAGCUAUAUUUGACAUUUCUCCCUUUUUACUUUGUGCUUAGAGAUGAUCAACCAUAUUAGAACCUGCGAAGCACCAUGCACUUGGUCAUGUAGCUUUCUAUGAACUUUCAUAGAGCUAUCACGAGUGUGUAACUGUAUACCACUGACCAUUCAUUUGACCAUUCAUUUUAAGGAAAAAGGAAUAUGUGGUGUUUUAUGCAAUGCUUUGAACUCUUGUUUUGUACUUUUGUUGUCAUUGGAGUCACUUUGAGGACUGUUUUAACAAUCCUCUUUGAGGAUUGUUGUGUUCUCAAACGCAUGUAUCUUGAAGUAACUUCUCCAGUUUCAGCACAAUGCUGAUUUGCUGCUACAACACACACCCAGUACUGAGGCCAAUGAGGGAUGGUCUUGGCAGCUACUUACCUGCAGCUCUCUAAUUGUUGGCUUACAAAACAACUAGACAUCAUAUCUAGUGUGCCAUUUAAUAUAUACAUGUAACCUGCUUCCUUUUUUAUCUGCAUAUUUCCAAUUGCUGACAGAAGAGCUUGUACAGACUUCACAAUGGAGAGAAAGCGUGUAUGUGUUAAAAUAUGUUGUGUUGAUUUAUUGUAUAGUCUUUUGUACAAAGGGAUUUUUUUCAACAUUUAUUAAAGGGAUAGUUAACAUUUUGCCAAUUUCAUGAGCUUUUCCUACUGGCAUAAAGUCAGAUGAUGAGUUCUGUUUUAUUUACAUUUCUUUGUGCAGUUGCACAUGAGAACCAUAAUGGUAAUGGGCAGAUUAUUCAUUUUUUGAAAGCUUCAAUUUUAGAAACAGUUGUUUUUUUUUAACUGAAACAUUUAAUUUGGUACAUUUUACUGUUUGGCUGUGAAAGUCUUAACAAACAACAGUCAAGUUGUAGUGGUGCUUCUAGAUGAAUCAGUAAGUUAAUGAUUUUCAAAUGCUUAACUUUUCUUUUAUUACACUACAGGUAAGCAAACAGCAAGUUGGAUCAGUUUUGGAGCUUGAUGUGUGUCAGCUAGCUGUUUUUGAAGACUUCCAUUCAUGCAGAUCUAAGAAGCUGCACACAAUGUGCAACUUGCACACAGAGAUUUGGAAGAAUGCUAGUAAUAACUUUGUCUGACUUUGUGAAAGCAGAAAAAAAUAUUUCAUUGCCAAAACGUUAAAGUCCCUUUUAUUUCACUCACUGGAGAGGAAUUAUUUAACCACUUUCUUUUCUCCAAGCCUUGUGAAUAAUAAGGUUGAUGCCAGUUAUUUAACAGAAUGCUCUUUUAUGUUUCAAAAAUAUUGGUCACAUGUAACUGUUGUAAAGUUAACUAAGAGAUAUUUAUAAUUUCUUUGUUUGGUUGUCAUUUAGAUGUAAAUAUAAAAUGACUGUAUAUGUAUUUCCCCAUUGCAAUACUAACAGACUGUGUUGUGUGACAGUGAAUUACUCCUUUGCUAUCUUUUAAUAUAAAACUGCAUUUGCAUUGAACAGAA